GGAAAGCUGCAGUUCCGCUGUUAUAACACAGGGAGCAGCCUGGAGAAUUUUGAGCUGCGUCACAGAGCUCUGAGAGAGUGAGUGAGUGUGAGAGAGAGAGCAAGCUCCCUCGAUAGGUCUACUAGCAACAGCCCUGCUGCAGCAAGGGGGGAGAGAGAGAGGCAGCAAGAGAGAGAGAGACAGAAGUAAUAACAUCAUGGACUGGGCUUCUGCAACCGGCCAGCUUAAUUUUUAAAAAAUUUAUUUUGGCUUAAUUGAUAUUGGAGGGUUCGCCCAUUGACGAUGCUGGAGACAUGAUGCGUUUAAUCCCGCGGGGAGGGAGGGUGGGCAGACGUCGGAAGGGUUAACGGGAAGAAAAUUCUGGAACAUUCUAUUCUGCGGCGCUGCACAGCGAGCGAACGAAGGGCUACGGAUUGCGCAGAUGUUUAACGGGCAGAGGUCUUCGGCUCGGGGUCCGUCUUUCCCACGGUCAGUUAUGCAAAGUAACAAAAAGCAAGGGAAGAAUGUGACAAACUCUUCAAAGUGGUUUGUUAUGUUAUUUAUGCAAAUAACACAGCCAGAACCAAGUAUUUCAUAGCUUGAAUUACUUCAGUGACAGGUGAGUUUCCUGUUGUUGCAAAAUAAGCCACAGUGACAUGUAAGUCAGGCCAGAGGAAAGUGAUAGACUUUUAUGCAUCUUUCUCUUCCUUCUAAGGAUAUUAAGUUCUUAUUAUUGACCAACACCACAAGUCUAGGAGGGACCUGGAAAAGAGGGUAAGGAGGCCAAGACAAACAGGAAGACAUUUUUUUCAUAACUAUUUUUUGCUAUCUUCGCACCCUCCCCUGCCUCCUCGAAGUGAUGAUAAUGAAGAUUUCAGUUCUGCUCUGACGUUCUGUGAACAAACCAUUUGAGCUUGGAUCAUCUUGCUCAGAAAGCCAUCCGGAUUCUGAAGAGGAGUAGUAACUUGCUUGAUCAUUCAGCAGGGAGAGUUAUUCCUUAUCUCUUUUUCAUGUGAAGUGACUUCAAGAAUAUGGGGGUAUAAGCAUUUAAUGUAUAACUUACCGACAUCUAAAGGGCCAAGUAUAGAUCAGAUGUAUUGUAUUCUCUUUCUUGAUUUCUUUUAUAAUAGUUUGUCUCCUAAGGUGCAUCCUGAUUUUUAUAUAAUGUAGAUACAUGCGCACACACCAUUCCAACACUGAUUUCAUCAGGUCUUAAAGAGCACCUGCCUUGCUCUCUUGCUUCCAACUCAGUGUCUUAGGGCAAUAAAAAGGAGGGAGUAGACCAUUUCCAAAGAGGGAGAAGUGGUAGGAGACAGGAGGAGGGAAAACAACAAGCCAGAGGGGAUAACUGAUUUGCUCUCCUCUUUCCCUUCUCAUGCCCAUCUCUGUUUUUCGCCUCUCCCCCCUCUUCCAAGGUUCACGGUGAAUUUGAAAUGCUCUUACUGCGGUUGCUACUGCCCCUGCUGACUCGCUGAUCCCUCACCCUGUGGAUUUGUCUCCCGUGGAGUCUCCUUGCUUCCUGCAGUGCCAGGUCCGCAGAGCAGCGGAACGGCAGUAACAAUAUGUGUCUGUUCGUCUUACUGCAGAGCACACAAUACGUAUACGUAUAUAGGCACAGUACUGCAGUUGCAUUUGUACAAGGCAGCAGCUGGGUUAAGAGCUGUUGCUUGGGAGAAUGAGAUCGAUCUUGGAAUAACUGUGCUCGUGCCCAGAGAGAGGUACCUUCCACAGCAGGGUGGACUAUCAGACCACCUCCUGCAAGGUCAUUCAGCUGUCUCACCAUCAACCACUAACAGCUGCAAUUUCCCUUCACUUAAUUUCAACCCAUCGCUCCUUUUAAAGCCUGUGUCCCUGCUCAAGAAGAACUCCCACUGGAAACUUUUGAACCAAGUGGGAAGAUUGUCUCGGCCUGUUCCUGUCCUGUGAAUAGAUAAUGCUGGAGUAUGGAAGGCUAUCUGUCGCUUUUCAUCAGCAUUAAGUUCACUGAAACAAAAAUAGUAAUGGCUAGCCUAUCUCUGACUUUUCACGUUCAGCCUAGGUUGAUGAGGCUGCUCACUGAAAGAGUGCUGCCUGACCUCGUGGGCAUCCUGUAUUAGAUGCCCAAGCAAGCCACAGACUUUGGAAAGAACAGCAUCAGCUAUCAGAGAUUCCUCUUUCAUGAAAGGAAACUUGGUGCAGUUUGGCAAAGGGACACAAUAUGUGAAACUAACAAGGAUGCUCAGAGUUAAGAAACACAAGAAAGGCUGAAGAUAAGAAGGUUGCAUUUUUGUCUGCUUUCUGAAAAGCCUUGAGAUUGAUUCUCCCCUGCCUUUCCCUUUGUGUCAUCAUUAAUUACUCC
Gopherus evgoodei (Goodes thornscrub tortoise) is the source of this 2317-nucleotide long non-coding RNA. RefSeq lists it as uncharacterized. The transcript is spliced from 7 exons. NCBI's taxonomy places the organism in Eukaryota, Metazoa, Chordata, Testudines, Testudinidae. The record is from RefSeq and is a predicted model, not a curated record.